Molecule: long non-coding RNA, 834 nt
Filed under: Chinchilla lanigera (long-tailed chinchilla)
Lineage: Eukaryota; Metazoa; Chordata; Mammalia; Rodentia; Chinchillidae
Description: lncRNA (ENSCLAG00000026248.1)
Source: RNAcentral
GCGGGAGCGUGCGCAGAAGCCGCUGCCCGUCGGGCCCCUCUCCCUUAGCCGGUGCCCUCUCCCCAGCUCGCCUCUCCCUCUAGCUGUGCUGUGUUUUCCUCUGAAAGGUUGACAGGUGUCUCUGUGCCAGGGUGGGCACAGCAGUGCAUAGGUUGCUAAUGACAGGGAAGAAAACAAAGGCAAAAAAUGGGGCUGGGGAACAGAAGGCGGUGCCACCCGCCGCAGAGGGGUUCUCCCUGUUCCCAGAAAAGAUGGUUUUCUUUGGGGACUCCGUCAAGCGUCAUAGGAUCGACUGAUACAGUUCCUUUCUCCUUUGGAGAAAAAGCCUUCUUAGGUUCUUCAAAUAAACCUCAGUUUUCCUUCCAAUAAAACUUUUUUUAAAUGUUUAGUGCGUUCAUUAGUUUGCUUUUUCUCUUUUUCUUAUUUCCCCUUUCCAGAACCUUAGUUAGUGUCUUACCCGACUGUGUCCUAUUUGAGGAAACUGUUGGACCGAGCAGGAAGGGGCUUUUAAGCAGCCUUGGCUGGGGCCCAGGACAUCAGAACCAAGCCCAGUUAAAAUAUUCCGGAGUUAUACUUCAGAAUAAUCAGUGCUUGAAGCUCCCUACAACCUAAUGAUUACAGUAUUUGACCACUGGCUUCAUUCCUGCGAUGUGACGUCCUACAAGGAAAGACAGAGGCACGUGCAAGUGUUCAGAUUUUACACAUUGUAAUAAAUACAGUAAUUAUGGGGCAUGCUUAAUUAGCCUCCUGUGAGCUGAGAGGCAUUCUUAAGUGUCAUAGAUGUCCUUCCCACUUGUGUGGUACACUGCACAGUAUGUAGGGCAGCAGUAUGCC